This is a long non-coding RNA of Eubalaena glacialis (North Atlantic right whale), 222 nucleotides long. RefSeq lists it as uncharacterized. The transcript has 3 exons. The record is from RefSeq and is a predicted model, not a curated record. NCBI's taxonomy places the organism in Eukaryota, Metazoa, Chordata, Mammalia, Artiodactyla, Balaenidae.
CCUGACGGAAGCCCAGGGAAAUUAAGCAACAUACCCUCCUUCUGACAAGCUUUCCAGAACCUCGAAUUCCCAGAGUUAAAUAUGGUGACUCGAAGAAACUUGGAGGUGGGGAAAAUGAGACUCAGAGAAAUUAAGCAGUUUGAUGAACCACACUAGAUACUUUUGCACCAACCCGAAUGCUUUUGAAGGCUAUUAACUGAUGAGGAGGACUGGAGAGAAUAG